CUGCAAAAGAAAGAGGGACUCCAGCAUAAAGAGUGAACUGAUUCACUAGCAAGCUUUGUUUUCAGAACUGAGUGUACUUCAGCCAUAGGUGUUUGUGAGAGAAUGAGCUAUUUUCCCCUAGGGCUGUGGGGGUGAAUUCUAGAAGAGAAAAAACUACUCUAAACAACUCCUGAAGAGCAAGGAGGAAAACCGCCACAAUUUUGGGAAGAGUAGGACAGCAGAGGAUUACCUCAGGAAAGUGCACAAGAAACCUGACUAUGGCUAACAAAAUGUACUGAGUCUGAUGGCAUUUUUAAAAAUAUGACUGUUUCUCCCAAGUGACCUCAACUUCAGCAAUAAGUGCUCCCUGGCUAGAAGGCCCUGGGUGGUAGAUGUAUCAAAAGCAAGACGUGGAUUCAAAAAGAAGACAAGUGUAGCAAAAAGUGGUAUUUUACAGUAAUU
Molecule: long non-coding RNA, 441 nt
Organism: Pseudopipra pipra
Lineage: Eukaryota; Metazoa; Chordata; Aves; Passeriformes; Pipridae
Exons: 4
Source: RefSeq, a predicted model, not a curated record